UACGGGAGGCAGCAGUGGGGAAUAUUGCACAAUGGGCGAAAGCCUGAUGCAGCUAUGCCGCGUGUAUGAAGAAGGCCUUAGGGUUGUAAAGUACUUUUCAUCGGGGAGGAAAAAACAAAACUAAUAAUUUUAUUUCUUGACGUUACCCGAAAAAGAAGCACCGGCUAACUCCGUGCCAGCAGCCGCGGUAAUACGGAGGGUGCUAGCGUUAAUCAGAAUUACUGGGCGUAAAGAGCACGUAGGUGGUUUUUUUAAAGUCAGAUGUGAAAUCCCUGGGCUUAACCUGGAACUGCAUUUUGAAACUGAAAUACUAGAGUAUCGUAGAGGGAGGUAGAAUUCUAGGUGUAGCGGUGAAAUGCGUAGAUAUCUGGAGGAAUACCUGUGGCGAAAGCGGCCUCCUAAACGAAUACUGACACUGAGGUGCGAAAGCGUGGGGAGCAAACAGGGAUUAGAUACC
RNAcentral lists this ribosomal RNA (457 nucleotides) under uncultured bacterium. RNAcentral's name for it is "bacterial SSU rRNA". It matches the Rfam family "Bacterial small subunit ribosomal RNA", at positions 340 to 786 of the family's 1533-position model. The record is from RNAcentral.